CAAGUACGGUAUACCGUACGUAGAUCUACAGCUGUUCUGUAUGCAUAUCGCUCGUGUCUGGCCAGGCUAUUUGAACUGUAAAGUGUAACUCAAGCGAGUGUACAGUCUACAUCUUCAAGAAAAUUUAAAAGAGCCAGUCAUGUCUGAAAAGAAGAAUCGAGGAGGUCCAUACAAGACUACACCUGCCACUGAUCUGUCAAGAUGGCGGCUCACUAAUACGAACGGUCGUCAAACUUGGCAAUACUACCCAGAAGGGGAAGAACCUGGACGUCCACAAAAUUUUGUUGAAAAGUUCUCCCUUGGACUAAACAUUGAUGAUGAAGCCCCACCACUACCCAGAGCUAAGACUGCUGAAGAAGCUGCUAAGAAUGGUAUGAAGUUUUACUCCAAGCUACAAACAGAAGAUGGUCAUUGGGCGGGCGAUUACGGUGGUCCACUCUUUCUUCUACCAGGUUUAGUCAUCGUGUGUUUCAUAACCGGUGUAGUCCUCCCUGAUGCGUCCAAGAAGGAGAUGGUGCGUUACCUUCGAUCAGUUCAGUGCCCUGAUGGCGGCUGGGGCUUACACAUUGAGGAUCAUGCUACUGUGUUUGGCACAGCAAUGAACUACGUGACGAUGAGACUACUGGGUGUCUCAAAGGAUGAUGAGGAUCUCAAGAAAGCAAGGAAACUUCUUCUAGAGAUGGGUGGUGCUGAGAGCAUUCCAUCUUGGGGCAAGUUCUGGCUCUGUGUUCUCAAUCUUUACAAAUGGGAGGGCAUGCACUGCUUGUUUCCUGAAAUAUGGUUGUUUCCCACUUGGCUUCCUGCUCACCCAUCCACUAUCUGGUGUCAUUGUCGACAGGUUUAUCUUCCAAUGGGAUUCUUUUAUGGGAUCAAGUUCCAGGCCGAAGAAAAUCAGCUCACCAGGGAGCUCAGAAAGGAAAUUUUCAAGGCCGACUAUUCGAGCAUUCAUUGGCCAUCCCAGCGAGAUAACAUCUCUAAGUUUGAUCUUUACACACCACAUAGUUGGUUGUACAACAUUGCAAUGGCGAUCUUGGAUUUGUAUGAGAAGUUUCAUUCUACCUGGUUGAGAAAGAAGGCAUUGGAUCACUGCUAUGAACACAUCAAAGCUGAUGAUGAAUUCACUAACGGAAUCAGUGUUGGUCCAAUCUCUAAAGUGAUUCAGAUGUUGGCAAGAUGGCAUAUUGAUGGAGCUGACUCAGAAGCUUUCAAGAUGCACAAGGAUAGACUCCCAGACUACUUGUGGAUUGGUCUAGAUGGCAUGAAAAUGCAGGGAACCAAUGGCUCUCAGCUUUGGGAUACAGCCUUUGUCAUACAAGCUUUCUUAGAGGCUGGCGGCGAGGGAGAGUUCAAGGAUACUUUAAGCAAGGCUCAUGACUUCUUAAAGAACACGCAGAUACCAGAGAACCCUCCGAACUAUCAAAAGUACUACCGCCAGAUGAGCAAGGGUGGUUAUCCCUUUUCAACCAAAGACUGUGGAUGGAUUGUUUCAGACUGUACUGCAGAAGGUCUUAAGUCCGCCAUGCUGCUGGAGGAGAAGUGCCCUUUUAUCUCUGAUCAUAUAGGCAAAGAGAGACAUUGCCAAGCCAUUGAUGUGUUGAUUGAUAUGCGUAACCCGGAUGGUGGGUUUGCUACAUAUGAGACCACGAGAGGAGGAUAUAUCCUUGAGAAUCUAAAUCCAUCAGAAGUUUUCGGUGAUAUCAUGAUAGACUACACAUAUGUGGAGUGUACAGUAGCCGUCCUGCUUGCCCUUCACCAUUUCCAUACUCAAUAUCCUGAGUACAGGACUGACGAGAUAAGAUCAGUCAUGGACCAAGCUCUUGAUUACAUCAAAGGAAAACAGCAACCAGAUGGAUCAUGGGAAGGGUCGUGGGGAGUCUGUUUCACAUACGCUGCCUGGUUUGGUCUGGAAGGAUUUGGCUCCAUGGGGCUUAGAUAUGACAAAGAUCUUGCUAGCAGUGAAGUGAAGAAAGCUUGUCAGUUCUUGGUUUCUAAGCAGAUGGAAGAUGGAGGAUGGGGAGAGAAAUUUGAGUCGUGCGAGGAGCGACGCUACGUCCAGUGUGAGACAUCACAAGUUAUCAACACAUGCUGGGCCUUGCUAGGUCUUAUGGCAGUCAGGUACCCUGACCGUAGAGUGAUGGAUCGUGGCAUACAGCUCAUCAUGUCAAGACAAAUUGAGAAUGGAGACUGGCCCCAGGAGAACAUCAAUGGUGUAUUCAACAAGUCGUGCGCUAUCAGCUACACCAACUAUCGCAAUAUCUUCCCCAUCUGGACUCUAGGACGCUACGCCAAACUAUAUCCAAACGAUGCAUCUCCCUUAGAAGACAAGUCGGACAGUAACAGCUCAGACUGGGAAAAACUCUAGUCUUCUCGGUUGAUGAAAAAGUCAAACCUGCUAUAGCCACCACCUGUAUAGAAAGAUUACCUGUCUAUAAAGACCACCUGUCUGUAAAGACCACAUUCUUUGUGUCCCUCAUAUAUGGUUUCUCCUUGAAACAUGUACUAAAGGAACCUUCACAUAAAGACCACCUGCCUAUAAAGAUCACUUUUCAUGUUUCCCUGGAGCGGUCUUUAUAGACAGGUUUCACUGUACAACCCUGAUUAGACAGACCCUUUCCAUACAUAGGCUAAUCCUGAGGACCUUGCUCUUCACCAAUCAAUGAUAAAUGUUUUGAUGAGGGAUAUCAAUUGUUCUUUCCUUCAAAGGGAAUUUUUUUAAUUGUAGAUUUUGAAAGGUAACGCUGUAAUGAAAGGAAUGAAAGAAAAACAUAACUCUUUGAAGACUAUGACCCUUCAAUUUUGUUAUUUGAAUAAAUUAGUGAUAAUUUUGGUCCCUUAUAGUUCCAAAAAGAAUAUAUAGUUAAAAGUAGUAGUGGUAAUAGUAGUUAUGGCAGCAGUAGUAUUAGUAGUAAUAGUAGUAUUAUUAGUGGUACUAUUAGUAAUGAUUUAUUGGAAAAUACAUUUGCAGUCAACUGAUGGAAUUGCAGAAUUUUAUAUAGAGUAGAAAAAAUGCAGAUGGCAGCUUAUCAUACAUAGCGAAUGAUGUCUUUCUCAUGAGUUAAAGUAUCAAAUUAGAGUGGUAAUGCAUUUUGUUUCAAUUGAACAAAUCAGUUACGUAUAUGUAGGCUCAUAUAAAUAUAGUUCACAAAACAGUGAGGAGCAUUUGUAUGAAAACAUUACGCCAUAGAUGAUUAUCCCCAUCAUGAAAUACUGUGUAUAUAUUUAUGUUAAAGAUAUUGAGAUCAAAGUGCAAAGUACACCAGUA
Molecule: long non-coding RNA, 3262 nt
Filed under: Strongylocentrotus purpuratus (purple sea urchin)
Lineage: Eukaryota; Metazoa; Echinodermata; Echinoidea; Camarodonta; Strongylocentrotidae
Description: lanosterol synthase
Source: RNAcentral